GUGGGUAGUUUGACUGGGGCGGUCUCCUCCCAAAGCGUAACGGAGGAGCACGAAGGUUAGCUAAUCCUGGUCGGACAUCAGGAGGUUAGUGCAAUGGCAUAAGCUAGCUUGACUGCGAGCGUGACGGCGCGAGCAGGUGCGAAAGCAGGUCAUAGUGAUCCGGUGGUUCUGAAUGGAAGGGCCAUCGCUCAACGGAUAAAAGGUACUCCGGGGAUAACAGGCUGAUACCGCCCAAGAGUUCAUAUCGACGGCGGUGUUUGGCACCUCGAUGUCGGCUCAUCACAUCCUGGGGCUGAAGUAGGUCCCAAGGGUAUGGCUGUUCGCCAUUUAAAGUGGUACGCGAGCUGGGUUUAGAACGUCGUGAGACAGUUCG
This 373-nucleotide ribosomal RNA is filed under the name Klebsiella pneumoniae. Its description in RNAcentral is "partial 23S ribosomal RNA". It matches the Rfam family "Bacterial large subunit ribosomal RNA", at positions 2261 to 2633 of the family's 2925-position model. Lineage: Bacteria; Pseudomonadati; Pseudomonadota; Gammaproteobacteria; Enterobacterales; Enterobacteriaceae. The record is from RNAcentral.